This 398-nucleotide ribosomal RNA is filed under the name uncultured bacterium. Its description in RNAcentral is "bacterial SSU rRNA". It matches the Rfam family "Bacterial small subunit ribosomal RNA", at positions 79 to 507 of the family's 1533-position model. The record is from RNAcentral.
UCGGUCCCUGAGUACAGUGGCGCACGGGUGAGUAACACGUGACUUAUCUACCCUCGAGUGGGGAAUAACUUCGGGAAACCGAGGCUAAUACCGCAUAAUACCCACGGGUCAAAGGAGCAAUUCGCUUGAGGAGGAGGUCGCGGCCGAUUAGUUAGUUGGCGGGGUAAUGGCCCCACCCAAGACGGUGAUCGGUAUCCGGCCUGAGAGGGCGCACGGACACACUGGAACUGAAACACGGUCCAGACUCCUACGGGAGGCAGCAGUGGGGAAUUUUGCGCAAUGGGGGAAACCCUGACGCAGCAACGCCGCGUGGAGGAUGAAGUCUCUUGGGACGUAAACUCCUUUCGAUCGGGACGAUUAUGACGGUACCGGAAGAAGAAGCCCCGGCUAACUUCGUG